GGGUUGUGAGGUUAAGCGACUAAGCGUACACGGUGGAUGCCCUGGCAGUCAGAGGCGAUGAAGGGCGUGCUAAUCUGCGAUAAGCGCCGGUAAGGUGAUAUGAACCGUUAUAACCGGCGAUACCCGAAUGGGGAAACCCAGUGUGAUUCGUCACACUAUCAUUAACUGAAUCCAUAGGUUAAUGAGGCGAACCGGGGGAACUGAAACAUCUAAGUACCCCGAGGAAAAGAAAUCAACCGAGAUUCCCCCAGUAGCGGCGAGCGAACGGGGAGGAGCCCAGAGCCUGAAUCAGCAUGUGUGUUAGUGGAAGCGUCUGGAAAGGCGCGCGAUACAGGGUGACAGCCCCGUACACAAAAGCGUAUGUGCUGUGAGCUCGAUGAGUAGGGCGGGACACGUGGUAUCCUGUCUGAAUAUGGGGGGACCAUCCUCCAAGGCUAAAUACUCCUGACUGACCGAUAGUGAACCAGUACCGUGAGGGAAAGGCGAAAAGAACCCCGGCGAGGGGAGUGAAAAAGAACCUGAAACCGUGUACGUACAAGCAGUGGGAGCACCCUUUGGGGUGUGACUGCGUACCUUUUGUAUAAUGGGUCAGCGACUUAUAUUCUGUAGCAAGGUUAACCGAAUAGGGGAGCCGGAGGGAAACCGAGUCUUAAUUGGGCGUUAAGUUGCAGGGUAUAGACCCGAAACCCGGUGAUCUAGCCAUGGGCAGGUUGAAGGUUGGGUAACACUAACUGGAGGACCGAACCGACUAAUGUUGAAAAAUUAGCGGAUGACCUGUGGCUGGGGGUGAAAGGCCAAUCAAACCGGGAGAUAGCUGGUUCUCCCCGAAAGCUAUUUAGGUAGCGCCUCGUGAAUUCAUCUCCGGGGGUAGAGCACUGUUUCGGCUAGGGGGUCAUCCCGACUUACCAACCCGAUGCAAACUGCGAAUACCGGAGAAUGUUAUCACGGGAGACACACGGCGGGUGCUAACGUCCGUCGUGAAGAGGGAAACAACCCAGACCGCCAGCUAAGGUCCCAAAGUCAUGGUUAAGUGGGAAACGAUGUGGGAAGGCACAGACAGCCAGGAUGUUGGCUUAGAAGCAGCCAUCAUUUAAAGAAAGCGUAAUAGCUCACUGGUCGAGUCGGCCUGCGCGGAAGAUGUAACGGGGCUAAACCAUGCACCGAAGCUGCGGCAGCGACACUCAGGUG
RNAcentral lists this ribosomal RNA (1188 nucleotides) under Salmonella enterica. Its description in RNAcentral is "partial 23S ribosomal RNA". It matches the Rfam family "Bacterial large subunit ribosomal RNA", at positions 1 to 1220 of the family's 2925-position model. The record is from RNAcentral. Lineage: Bacteria; Pseudomonadati; Pseudomonadota; Gammaproteobacteria; Enterobacterales; Enterobacteriaceae.